Molecule: ribosomal RNA, 536 nt
Filed under: uncultured bacterium
Lineage: Bacteria
Description: partial 16S ribosomal RNA
Rfam family: Bacterial small subunit ribosomal RNA
Source: RNAcentral
UAGGGAAUCUUGCGCAAUGGGCGAAAGCCUGACGCAGCCAUGCCGCGUGAAUGAUGAAGGUCUUAGGAUUGUAAAAUUCUUUCACCGGGGAAGAUAAUGACGGUACCCGGAGAAGAAGCCCCGGCUAACUUCGUGCCAGCAGCCGCGGUAAUACGAAGGGGGCUAGCGUUGCUCGGAAUUACUGGGCGUAAAGGGCGCGUAGGCGGAUGUUUAAGUCGGGGGUGAAAGCCCGGGGCUCAACCUCGGAAUUGCCUUCGAUACUGGACAUCUUGAGUACGGGAGAGGUGAGUGGAACUCCGAGUGUAGAGGUGAAAUUCGUAGAUAUUCGGAAGAACACCAGUGGCGAAGGCGACUCACUGGCCCGUUACUGACGCUGAGGCGCGAAAGCGUGGGGAGCAAACAGGAUUAGAUACCCUGGUAGUCCACGCCGUAAACGAUGAGUGCUAGUUGUCGGCAUGCAUGCAUGUCGGUGACGCAGCUAACGCAUUAAGCACUCCGCCUGGGGAGUACGGUCGCAAGAUUAAAACUCAAAUGAA